UUUAUUCUCUAUACAUUUGAUUUCACUGAAUGUUAUAACUAUCAUAAUGUAUAUAGUUUUGUAAUGUCUUGUGCAUUCACUAUAUAUGCAGCUAUUGGCUUAAAUGUAAAUCUAGAGAGUGCAAGUGAUUUUUUAAGUCAUCAAGCAUGGAUGAUUCUAAACUAUUUGUAUUUCAAUCUUUUGUAAGCGAACAUACAUGUUCA
This 203-nucleotide long non-coding RNA is filed under the name Capsicum annuum. Its description in RNAcentral is "long non-coding RNA (CANN_LNC008534)". The record is from RNAcentral. Lineage: Eukaryota; Viridiplantae; Streptophyta; Magnoliopsida; Solanales; Solanaceae.